CCUAUGAGUCGUUUAAAUGGCCGCAGUAUUUUGACUGUGCAAAGGUAGCAUAAUCACUUGCCCUUUAAUUAGGGGCUGGAAUGAAGGAGGCGACGAGAUCUAGGCUAUUUAGAUUCUUACAGAAAUUGACAGGCGGGUCAAAAGGCCCGCGUGCACCAAAGGGACGAUAAGACCCUAUAAAACUUUACUUUUAGUGGGGGGUCCGACAGGCCGGCCAUACGCUUGAGAGUUCGACUGGGGCGGUAGUUAUAAAAACAAUGAUAUAUAAAAUAUAUUAAAUAGUGUGUUAGAGCUCUUUAAGAAAUAGAACAAGUUACUUUAGGGAUAACAGCGUAAUUCCCCCAGAGAGU
This 350-nucleotide ribosomal RNA is filed under the name Proasellus strouhali. RNAcentral's name for it is "partial 16S ribosomal RNA". It matches the Rfam family "Bacterial large subunit ribosomal RNA", at positions 1912 to 2499 of the family's 2925-position model. Lineage: Eukaryota; Metazoa; Arthropoda; Malacostraca; Isopoda; Asellidae. The record is from RNAcentral.